CCCUUAGAUGUUCUGGGCCGCACGCGUGCUACACUGAGUGGAUCAGCGGGUCAGGUUGCGCGAAAGCGUUUCCUAAUCUUUAAAUCCGCUCGUGAUGGGGAUUGACGGUUGCAAUUUUCUGUCAUGAACGAGGAAUACCUUGUAAGCGCGGGUCAUCAUCCCGCGCUGAAUACGUCCCUGCCCUUUGUACACACCGCCCGUCGCUCCUACCGAUUGAGUGAGCCGAUGAAACUGCCGGAUGUGGACUAUUCAUAGUCUGCAGAAGAUAUUUGAAUCGUAGCGCUUAGAGGAAGGAGAAGUCGUAACA
Molecule: ribosomal RNA, 307 nt
Filed under: uncultured eukaryote
Lineage: Eukaryota
Description: partial 18S ribosomal RNA
Rfam family: Eukaryotic small subunit ribosomal RNA
Source: RNAcentral